Molecule: ribosomal RNA, 315 nt
Filed under: uncultured bacterium
Lineage: Bacteria
Description: bacterial SSU rRNA
Rfam family: Bacterial small subunit ribosomal RNA
Source: RNAcentral
GAUAAACGCUGGCGGCGCACAUAAGACAUGCAAGUCGAACGGACUUAACCGAAAGUUUACUUUUGGAGCGGUUAGUGGCGGACUGGUGAGUAACACGUAAGCAACCUGCCUAUCAGAGGGGAACAACAGUUAGAAACGACUGCUAAUACCGCAUAAGCCCACGACCCGGCAUCGGGUUGAGGGAAAAGGAGCAAUCCGCUUUGAGAUGGCCUCGCGUCCGAUUAGCUGGUUGGUGAGGUAACGGCCCACCAAGGCGACGAUCGGUAGCCGGACUGAGAGGUUGAACGGCCACAUUGGGACUGAGACACGGCCCAG